Molecule: long non-coding RNA, 454 nt
Filed under: Brassica napus (rape)
Lineage: Eukaryota; Viridiplantae; Streptophyta; Magnoliopsida; Brassicales; Brassicaceae
Description: long non-coding RNA (BNAP_LNC000205)
Source: RNAcentral
AGUAAUGAUAUUAUCAAGCCCAUUUCAACCUUACCUACUCAGAAAAGUAAUAUAUACAGUCUUCCUGAUAAUAUCUUGUUCAUCUACUAUGCUUUUGUAGACACAACACAAGGUGGAAAUGGACAAGAGAGAUGGCAAGUUCGGUCCACAGCCAAUGGCGGUGCCUCCGCCUCAGGUAAUGUCACGGAUUGAUCAAGCAACUCCACCCGCAAUCGGUUAUCCUCCACAAGGUUACCCACCUUCUGGUUAUCCGCAACACCCGCCACAAGGUUAUCCACAACACCCACCUCAAGGUUAUCCACCUUCUGGUUAUCCGCAACACCCUCCACAAGGUUAUCCACCUUCUGGCUAUCCUCAAAACCCUCCAGCUUAUCCUCAAUACCCUCCCGGUCCGGCUUAUCCUCCUCAGGCUUACCCAAAGUAACUACUCUUUGCCUGGUUUCUCUGGAGACUU